GACGAAGGUGGCAAGCGUUGUUCGGAAUCAUUGGGCUUAAAGCGCACGUAGGCGGCCUGUUAAGUGUCUUGUGAAAUCCCCCGGCUCAACCGGGGAAUGGCUGGGCAUACUGACGGGCUUGAGGCAGGUAGGGGCAAGUGGAACUCUUGGUGGAGCGGUGGAAUGCGUAGAUAUCAAGAGGAACGCCGGUGGUGAAGACGACUUGCUGGGCCUGUCCUGACGCUGAGGUGCGAAAGCCAGGGGAG
This 245-nucleotide ribosomal RNA is filed under the name uncultured bacterium. RNAcentral's name for it is "partial 16S ribosomal RNA". It matches the Rfam family "Bacterial small subunit ribosomal RNA", at positions 524 to 768 of the family's 1533-position model. The record is from RNAcentral.